This 531-nucleotide ribosomal RNA is filed under the name uncultured Pseudomonadota bacterium. Its description in RNAcentral is "bacterial SSU rRNA". It matches the Rfam family "Bacterial small subunit ribosomal RNA", at positions 368 to 917 of the family's 1533-position model. Lineage: Bacteria; Pseudomonadati; Pseudomonadota. The record is from RNAcentral.
ACAAUGGGCGCAAGCCUGAUCCAGCCAUGCCGCGUGGGUGAAGAAGGCCUUAGGGUUGUAAAUCCCUUUCAGCGGGGAAGAUAAUGACGGUACCCGCAGAAGAAGCCCCGGCUAACUCCGUGCCAGCAGCCGCGGUAAUACGGAGGGGGCUAGCGUUGUUCGGAAUUACUGGGCGUAAAGCGCGCGUAGGCGGACCUGCAAGUCGGGGGUGAAAGCCCGAGGCUCAACCUCGGAACUGCCUUCGAUACUGCCAGUCUUGAGUUCGAGAGAGGUAAGUGGAAUUCCUAGUGUAGAGGUGAAAUUCGUAGAUAUUAGGAAGAACACCAGUGGCGAAGGCGGCUUACUGGCUCGAUACUGACGCUGAGGCGCGAAAGCGUGGGGAGCAAACAGGAUUAGAUACCCUGGUAGUCCACGCCGUAAACGAUGGGUGCUAGUUGUCAGGCAGCUUGCUGUUUGGUGACGCAGCUAACGCGUUAAGCACCCCGCCUGGGGACUACGGUCGCAAGACUAAAACUCAAAGGAAUUGACGGA